UUUCUUCGGAGAGUUUGAUCCUGGCUCAGGAUGAACGCUGGCGGCGUGCCUAAUACAUGCAAGUCGAGCGAACUGAUUAGAAGCUUGCUUCUAUGACGUUAGCGGCGGACGGGUGAGUAACACGUGGGCAACCUGCCUGUAAGACUGGGAUAACUUCGGGAAACCGAAGCUAAUACCGGAUAGGAUCUUCUCCUUCAUGGGAGAUGAUUGAAAGAUGGUUUCGGCUAUCACUUACAGAUG
Molecule: ribosomal RNA, 240 nt
Filed under: Priestia megaterium
Lineage: Bacteria; Bacillati; Bacillota; Bacilli; Caryophanales; Bacillaceae
Description: Bacillus megaterium 16S rRNA. Bacterial SSU
Rfam family: Bacterial small subunit ribosomal RNA
Source: RNAcentral